RNAcentral lists this ribosomal RNA (253 nucleotides) under uncultured bacterium. RNAcentral describes it as "partial 16S ribosomal RNA". It matches the Rfam family "Bacterial small subunit ribosomal RNA", at positions 524 to 776 of the family's 1533-position model. The record is from RNAcentral.
GACGUAGGUGGCGAGCGUUGUUCGGAAUCACUGGGCCUAAAGCGCACGUAGGCGGCCAUAUAAGUCGGGUGUGAAAGCCCUCGGCUCAACCGAGGAACUGCGCCCGAUACUGCAUGGCUUGAGGUCCGGAGGGGAGAGUGGAAUUCCCGGUGGAGCGGUGAAAUGCGUAGAGAUCGGGAGGAACACCAGUGGCGCAAGCGGCCGCCUGGCACUGACCUGACACUGAGCCACGACGGCGUGGGGAGCAAACAGG